Molecule: ribosomal RNA, 558 nt
Filed under: Rhodobacteraceae bacterium N3mML5
Lineage: Bacteria; Pseudomonadati; Pseudomonadota; Alphaproteobacteria; Rhodobacterales; Paracoccaceae
Description: bacterial SSU rRNA
Rfam family: Bacterial small subunit ribosomal RNA
Source: RNAcentral
GCGCGCCUUUCGGGGUGAGCGGCGGACGGGUUAGUAACGCGUGGGAAUAUGCCCUUUGGUACGGAAUAGCCUCUGGAAACGGAGAGUAAUACCGUAUGAGCCCUUCGGGGGAAAGAUUUAUCGCCAAAGGAUUAGCCCGCGUUAGAUUAGGUAGUUGGUGGGGUAAUGGCCUACCAAGCCUACGAUCUAUAGCUGGUUUUAGAGGAUGAUCAGCAACACUGGGACUGAGACACGGCCCAGACUCCUACGGGAGGCAGCAGUGGGGAAUCUUGGACAAUGGGGGCAACCCUGAUCCAGCCAUGCCGCGUGAGUGAUGAAGGCCUUAGGGUCGUAAAGCUCUUUCGCCUGUGAAGAUAAUGACGGUAGCAGGUAAAGAAACCCCGGCUAACUCCGUGCCAGCAGCCGCGGUAAUACGGAGGGGGUUAGCGUUGUUCGGAAUUACUGGGCGUAAAGCGCACGUAGGCGGAUCGGAAAGUUGGGGGUGAAAUCCCGGGGCUCAACCCCGGAACUGCCUCCAAAACUAUCGGUCUAGAGUUCGAGAGAGGUGAGUGGAAUUCC